RNAcentral lists this long non-coding RNA (277 nucleotides) under Sorghum bicolor (sorghum). RNAcentral's name for it is "long non-coding RNA (SBIC_LNC007436)". The record is from RNAcentral. Lineage: Eukaryota; Viridiplantae; Streptophyta; Magnoliopsida; Poales; Poaceae.
UCUAAACAAGGCCGUAUUUUCGUGCACAAGGAAAUGCGUAUCACAGUCCACAGACCAGUGCGAUGCCACAUGGGCGGGUCCCGUCACUGGGCACAAUGAUCGCACAUGAAUAUGACCACUCAACUAGCCAGAAAGGAAAUUUGUUGCCCACACAGGUAUUUCAUCUGGCUACGAAUAUUGGGAAAUUUGUUGCCCACACAGGAAUUUCAUCUCACUAAGAACAUAAAGUAAAAAAAAUAUUACAAUAGCUGUUCACAAAUGUAAUGUAACUCGAUAU